UCGAUACUAAUUGAAUCUACUGAACGAGUUUUGGAAACCCUUUUUCAUUUUCCCUAAAAACGCAACUUUGCAAUUUUCCACGAUAAUUUUCAACAACGUACUUGUACGAAUCUGCUGCAUAUGAAAAAAUUAUAGGUACAACGUUCGCCUCAUAGAAUUUUCCAGAGACAAGAAAAAUUUUCCGCAACAGAAGCUUGCACGUGCGUUAAUCUACUAUUCCGUUUGGAAAAAAUUAAUAAUUUGAGGAAAUAAUAACGAUAAGGCGAAAUAACUAGACAAAUUAAAUAGCUAUUGGAGUAUGUUGAGCAGAAACCAAGCGUUGGCUAGAAACCAAGGUGAUUUGAGAAGUUUUCCUUCGGGAUUCAACGAAAUGAGCUACCUAGUAGUAAUCAAAAGUAUGAAAAAGACUAACUCAGCUACGAAAAAUCUAAAACAAGGUUAUUGCCUAUCGUCAAUGCUAUAUGGGACAAACUAUUUUCCCAUUCCAAACGUCCUGUCCAAAUCUAUUAAAUUCCCUUCAGAAUUAUCCUACACGAAGACAACAACGCGACGAAACCGGUAACCCGAGCUAUUAGGGUACACGUAAAUCAAUUGGGCAGAUGAAGCUCUCAGCUGUGGAGAAAAAAAUUCAUCUUAGAGAAGGGCGUUUCCAAUAAAACCAUGAUCUUCCAGGUUGGUGGUGGAGGCCUCUUCAGAAAAGAUAUAAAAUGUUAAAAAACCUAACCAAGAGUUUACUCCUGGAAUAAUAAUUGAAAUAAAAUAUGUUGACAAUCGAAAA
Molecule: long non-coding RNA, 778 nt
Organism: Diorhabda sublineata
Lineage: Eukaryota; Metazoa; Arthropoda; Insecta; Coleoptera; Chrysomelidae
Exons: 3
Source: RefSeq, a predicted model, not a curated record